UAAGAAAUUUAGGAUUAUAUUAAACCAAGAGCCUUCAAAGCUCAAAAUAUGGGUGAAACCCCCGUAAUUUC
Molecule: transfer RNA, 71 nt
Filed under: Anolis chlorocyanus (Northern Hispaniolan green anole)
Lineage: Eukaryota; Metazoa; Chordata; Lepidosauria; Squamata; Anolidae
Description: tRNA-Trp
Rfam family: tRNA
About the family: Transfer RNA (tRNA) molecules are approximately 80 nucleotides in length. Their secondary structure includes four short double-helical elements and three loops (D, anti-codon, and T loops).
Source: RNAcentral